GUCCUUAUCUUCGUAUUCUCUCGGCAUCGAACGUGGGAGGUUCACAGUUCCGGAGACUUAGCACGUCGGGUACGGGACGCCGCAGGUGCGCGCAACCCGCUUGGCGUUGGGUGAGGUGACAUACUGCCGCAGAUUCGGAUUCCUGAUGUACCCGCAGAGGCACGGCCUCUGCUCUCGCAGCUUGCUACAGCACAGCGCCGAGGGAGGCGCGGACGACGUGAUUGCGGAGACACACGAGCUCAGCUCCGUGGCGCUGCACGUCACCGCUUCCGCUACUCGGGCCUGAUCUGGCGAGAGAAGCACAAGCACCGCCACGAGAGCGGCCGCAAGCAACCGUGGAGAUGGGGAGGGAUCGGAUGGCUUGGCCAUGAUCUUCAGAGGGAAGCGAAGUGGAAAGGAGAUUGAAAUCAGCGGAGAGAGAGCGCGUGGGGACUGGAGAGGUUGGUGGGGGUGUAUGUUGUGUGGCCAAGGCAAGAGAUAGUGGAUUUAUAAGGACGGCACUUCAAUUAAAUGUCGCAUAACUUAUUUUGAAAAGAAAUUACAAUAGGCUAAUCAUACAAUUAUAGAGGCUUGGUUGCAUCCUUGCGAUGUUUUGGGCUCUAGUGCAUUUUGUGUCAGGCAUUCUAGUACACAAGGAAUAGACCACCCCCCACCUGUAGACGUUGAAUUGUAUCGCUGUCGGCUCUCUACCUUUUAAGGCUACAUUUAUUGCCUAAUGACCGCCUUGUUUCUCGGGGCAUCUUCGCCAGCCACAAUAUAAUAUAUAAUAUACAUGGAGGAAAAAAAAAAAAAAGAGAGAGAACGAAAGAUGGUCAGUGCUUUUAUUAUUAGAAUUCAUUUCGUGAAAAGGAUCACUUUCUUUGUUAUUGCCUUGCAAACCUUACUCAUAAGUUUCAGAAUUGAGAUUUUAUUACAUCUGUGUUAAUUUCAAUGUGCCGACCCGUGAAUUUGAAUAUCAUUUAGAGAACAUGAAUUAAUUUUAAAGACUUCGUGUGCACACAUGUAUCAAUCAUCGGACAUCAUCUAUGGAGCUUAUUUUUCAUUACGAGGGAUUGAUAGAAAAAAAAAAAAUCAUUAGCAUAGUGCUUUAAAUCUUAAAAAAAGUAAAAAUUCAAUUUUUUCACUAAACUUGAUUUGGACUUAGACCAUCGCAUCAAAUCUCCCGUCAAUGAAGGGAAAAUAUCCUUUCCUCUAUCAAAUGGAAAGCCACUAGAAUUUAAUAGAUGGCAAUAUCAUCAUCGUUACUAUUACAUAGAAUUUUCAAACCACCCUUCAUCCGAUUACUCCUGAAGGAGCAUGGACCUCAGCAGGAGGAUAACAAAGAAGAUGAUGGAUGCUUCAAAGCGGCCAAAAUAGAUAGAGCAAGAUAGGCUUAGGCACAUGCACGGUAGGCAAAACAACGCGGCAAUCGACGUUAACUUCAUUCGAGGUCAACUCUCAGCCACAUGAUAGAACAUGGCUAUCUUCGAAUUCAACAGAAUAGUUGGAAAAUUAUUCUAACAAAAGCCGCCCGCGGGCGCAAGCCGGCUUGGUUCUCGCAAGUAUUCGGAGAGCUAGAAACGAAGAACGGUUGCGAAUGCGUUGAAUACGUCCGCAUGCCGGGAAACUUCCUCUUCACCAAAUACAGGAAAAACUUGUUGGAUUUUCCUAUGAUCUGCUCAACUGGAAGUCUACUUUGCUUUACUCUUCACGGCAAGAAUGCCAAUGUGAAGACGGUUAGAUAAAGCUCGUGAAAUUUCCCGAAUGCCGCCAGAAAUUUCGGUUUCUACUCUUGACUUGGAGUCAACCCAUUCUAUCUUCCAGUCAUACACAGCUGUGCUAACCCACUCAUUUGCAGCCACUUACAUCGGUGUGCAAAUCUGUCAUUAGACAUUAUUGUCAAUUAGGGGUGAGCAUGGUCGAGUGAACAUUUCUCACUCUAGAUCCGAGAACCACCCACUAAAGACCAAUUUUUGAAAAUUAGAACCGAGAACCGCUCAUUAAUUUCAUGGAUUUACCUAGGAACCGGACCAUCGGUCCAAUCCGAUUCAUGGGUGAGUCUAUAGAACUGGUUCCACCAAGCUCCACGCGUUAACACUAUAAUAUGCAAUAAAGAAUUACAUGACGGAAUCACAUCAUCAAAUACACUUCCAAUUAGAGCUAAUAAACCAACAAUAUUAGUAUGUCAGAAAGUGUGUAAGCAAGAGAGCAAACUCACAAACUUGUUACAAGUGGGCAUAUUAGCAUGUAGCCUAGGGAUUAAGGAUUUUUCAUUUUUUAAAUUAAAAAUUAAAUAUAUAUUAUAUACCAUCGGUCUUGUCCAAGUGGGCAGUUCCACACUUGCAACUAGGAACCAAGAAUUGGACCAGUUCCCUUAAGAAUCACUGUUUCUUAGGCAGUCUAGGCAAUUCCCGGUUCCUUCGUACACCCCUAUUAUUAGCCCUCGACCUUACAUUGGGCAUGCCAUGUGUAGAGAGAGAGAGAGAGAGAGAGAGUAACGUCUUUCCAACUGAAAGCAUGGUGGUAAUGAUUUUCAAGACGAUAAGAGGCAUAUUUAUUAGAAGAGAUAUAUGUGCUGGAAUUCUUAAAAUUUAUCAACAAAAUGUUAUUAAGUUAUAAAAUUUACAAAUAAUACAAUCAAAUCCUAAUACUUGUCAAAUUGGUACACUCAAAUUCUUUCAUAAACUUCAUUCAUUUAGAUUAAUGAAAAAUGUUACUGUCGCUUUUUUUAAUAUUUUCUAUCCCAACAUGGUGAUGAUGUGGAUUAAAUUCUGAUUGUUUAAACCAAAAUACUAAUUAAAUAAAAUAAGAUAAGUAUUUUAAAAAAAAAAACACACACACACACACAAAAGGGAGUGUUUUUGACGAGCGAACAAACCAAAGGCGUCGUCCUUGCCAUUGUCGCCCUCGUCGCCAACCGAUGAGGGCCAAUGAAACCUGUCGAGCCCUGGUGACCCGUGUCCAGAUUUGGAUGAAGGUCAUUAGCCCUGGCUGAGGCCCUGGCGACCCCCACUAGCCCUUUUUGACAAGGAGGGGGGCGGCGAAGAGGGCCCGCCCUUCCCCUUGCCUCCUUUUAUUAUAUUUUCUUAAAUAUUUUUAUUUAAUUUAAUUAAAAUUUUGGUUAAAAAUUAGAAUUUAAUCCAAAAUUGUGUCAUUUUAGCCCUGUGUUCCAUGUUUUGGUCACUUCAUCGCCAUAUAGAAGAGAGCAACUAUUAGAAAAAGCCAUGUCAACAAUUUUCAUUAAUCUAAAUAGACAGAGUUAACGAAAGAAUUCAAUUGUACCAAUGUAAAAAGUUUUAAGUCUUGAGUAUACUUUUUUAUAUAUUUUAAGAACUCGAUUGCACUUUGUUAAAAGUUUUAAGACUUUCGGAGCACAUAUCUCUUAUGAAAAAGACCAUUCUUCAAAGGGACCAUUAAGCUUUUGAGCAGAGAUAUUUUUUGGUAACUAAUAAUUUUUAUAUUAUUUGGGUGAUAUUGUUGUUUAGACAUAAUAAAUUAUUUUAGUAAGAAAUAUUGAAAUUAGAUUAUUGUCAAAUCACAGUUUUUUUUUUUAAAUAGCCCGCUAAAUUCAUGAAUCAUGUAGUGUACAAGUCGAAAUCUAAUUAAAUGGCCUUACAUUCAUCCCUCAAAUAUUUACAUGCGGUUUUAUUAUCUAAAGAAGCGAUAAGUCUUUUUUUUUUCCAUUUCAUAGUUAUGGUAUCUGUAAAUUCAGCCCAAUGUACUUAUAGAUGAAGCAAUUUCUUUGGGGAAAUGUGAGAGUUUUCAAGCUAUAAUUUUUUUAUUAAUUGAAUAUAUUUCUUUACAUCAUUUAAUGACUCGCACCAAACGCAGGAGUUAGAAGGUACUCUCGUGUCAAUAUGAUUAUGAUAAUAGACAGGUGUAAAAUUGUUAAGAGCCGCCCAAAAAAACUAUGGAAAGUAGAGGUGACAACAUUUACUAGUGAUGUGGUCGCUAAAGAUACAAAAAUGCGCAAAUCAACGUUUAGUCUGCCUUUCGACAAAAAAAAAAUUAAAAAUUAAAGUUGUCAUCGACCACAAAAAGAAAGCAUUGAAGUUAAUUGACUAGACCAAAUGAGAACUCCAGAAUUUUACCAGCGACUUUUAGCGCUUGAAAACGCGGAAACAAUGGCAGUCAAAAAGAAAGUGGGAAAUAAAGACCUGCUCUUUCUCAUUUUUUCUCUAUGCUGGGAUUGAAUCGAUUGAAGUCAUCUACGUGUAAAAACUAUCUGAAAACUGACCAUUUCAUCGAGGAUGAUCCUCCUGACUUUUGGACCUUCCCCGGAGCGUGUCUGUGAAGUUUCCUCUCAUUAGAUAAUAUUGUUAGACAUUCUAAGAUAUUAGAGCUAUUAUUUAAUAUUUCAUUACUUUCUAAAAUAGUCAAUUUCCUCAUUAAAUUACUUCCUUUCCUAUACGUAUUGUUCGGAUGUAAACACUCUUGUGGUGGCCUGGCGAGGCUCCGACAAGGUCGCCAGCCCUCGUCUGGCCGAUGGCAAGCGACCGGCCAAAAGGAAGAAGAAGAAGAAGAAGAAGAAGAAGAAGAAAAGAAAGAAAAGAAAAAAAAAAGGAGAGAGAAAAAUUAUUUCUCGGAAUUGUUCCCGGGAACAAAAAUUUUAUCAAAUGUGUUUCUAUUCUUUUUUUGUUCCUUAGAACAAAAGAACAUAAAUUUUUGUUCUGGGGAACAGAAACAAAGUUUGCCAAACAAACCCUUAAAAGCCCUAUUUGGCGAUCAAGGUCGCCGCAACCAGAUCGAGCAGCCCCAGCGACCUCUGCAUGGAGGUCGCGGUGCGGCGGGUCACGCGACCUUCCGGCAAGGCGACCCGCCAUGCUGCGACCUUCAUGCGGAGGUCGCCGAGGCCGCUCGAUCUGGUUGCGGUGACCCUCACUAACCGCUUGCCCCUUGCCAGACCGCCUGCCCCUCGCAGGCAGUAACUAGCCAAUUCUCUUCUUUUUUUUUUUUCCUUUUUUUUAAUAACAAAAGUCUUUUGCAAAGUUAAUUUGUCCAAACACUAUUUUGCUCAAACAUACUUCAUAAUAGACUUUCACAAAUACGAUUUACCAAACACUAUUUGCAUUUUCAAAAACCCCUUUAGCUCAAAGACCUUUACAUUUUCUCAAUGAUUUUCCCCAAAAGUGAGUACUAAACUCAUUCACAGAUAGGAUUCGCCCCAGUGGCCACCCUUCUAACAUGAAAAUGGGAGGUGAGGGAUUCAAAUCCCCAUCUUCUCAGGGGAAUGGAGUGGGGACGCGUAAGUUUCAGAAGUGAGUUUCGACUCCCACGCCCUGCAAGAGGCAGGGCAAAAGUCUGAGAGUGAGUGUAGAGUGGGAAUAAAGUAGAACUGACAAAAAAAAAAACAUUCGCAGAAGGCCUUACCAAAUCGCUGUAUGGGGGGGGGGGGGGUGUAGAGAUAGAGAGAGAGAGAGAGCCAAUUAUAAUAGUUCAAAAGAAGUGCAACUGAAGAACACUAAAUAAGACUUCGUCUCUUCAACUUCAUAGGACACAACUAUAUAGGUCAUGGCAACAUCAUGUCGUUGAAACAUGAUUAUUACAGCAAUCUUGCUUGUUUCUUUAUUUCAGCUUAUUUAAUCAGUAACUACUACAUCUUCAUUCUUAUUUUCAUAUUCUCUCGGCAUCGAGCAUGGGAGCUUCUAGGUUCCGGACACUAGCACGUUGGGGACGCGACGCCGCAGGUAGAAGCAACCCGUUUGGCGUUGGGAGAGGUGAAGUACUGUUUGAGAUUUGGAUCCUUGAUGUACCCGCAGAGGCAUGGUCUCUGCUCUCGAAGCUUGCUACAGCACAGAGCCGAUGGAGCUGCAGAGGAUGUGAUCGCGGGCAGGCACGGGCUCAGCUCCGUGGCGCUGCACGUCACUGCUUCCACUACUUGGGCUCGAUCUGCCGAGAGAAACACGAGCACCGCCAUGAGAGCGGCCGCAAGCAAGCGUGGAGAAGGGGAGCGAUUGGAUGGCUUGGCCAUAACCUUCAAUGGGAAGCAAGUGAAAAGGAGAUAGAAAUUAGUGGGAGAGUUGUGGAGACUGGAGAGGCAGGGGGGGUGUGUGUUUUGUGGAGCGAUAGGAGAAUCAUAGAGAUGGCACUUCAAUUUCAAUCAACAAUUAGAGUUAACGGAAAAACUAUCCAAAAAAAAAAAAAAAUUUACACUAUUCGACAUGGAUGUAUAUACUAUUUGGUACAGUUUGGCACUAUUUGAAACUAUCGCAG
Molecule: long non-coding RNA, 6192 nt
Filed under: Eucalyptus grandis
Lineage: Eukaryota; Viridiplantae; Streptophyta; Magnoliopsida; Myrtales; Myrtaceae
Description: long non-coding RNA (EGRA_LNC003789)
Source: RNAcentral